UAGGGGGGGAAGGGGGAGGUUACACCUGGGCAACCCUGCUUCAUAGAGGGGGAAUAGCCUUCGGAAAGGGAGAUUAAUUCCGCAUAAGAUCGUCGUCCCGCGGGGUACAGCAAUUAAAUGGAGCAAUCCGGUAUGAGAUGGGCCCGAUGCGCAUUAGCUAGUUGUUGAGGUAACGGCUCACCAAGGCGACGAUGCGUCGCCGACGUGAGAGGGUGAUCGGCCACAUUGAGACUGAGACACGACUCUGACUCGUACGAGAGGCAGCAGUGGGGAAUAUUGCACAAUGGGCGAAACCAUGAUGCAGCAACGCCGCGAUGAGUGAUGACGGCGUUAGGGUUCUAAAGCUCUGUCUUCAGGGACGAUAAUGACGGUACGUGAGGAGGAAGCCACGGCUAAAUACGUGCCCGCAGCCGCUGUAAUAUGUAGGUGGCGAGCGUUCUCCAGAUUUACUGGGUGUAAAGGUAGUGUAGGCGGAUUUGUAUGUUAGAUGUGAAUUAGUGGGGUUUAUCCUGAGUGGCGCAUGUCAAACUCGAAGUCUAGAGUGCAGGAGAGGAGAAGGGAAUUCUUAGGGUAGCGGGGAAAGGGGUGGUGUCUAGGAGGACCACCAGUGGGGAGGGCGGUUUUUUGGCCGGUAACGGACGUGGAGGCUGGAAAGCGUGGGGAGCAACCAGGAUUGGUUCCCUUGUUAGUCCACCCUGUAAACGAUGAAUAUUAGGUUAGGUGUUUCAGACCUCUGUGCC
RNAcentral lists this ribosomal RNA (740 nucleotides) under uncultured bacterium. RNAcentral's name for it is "bacterial SSU rRNA". It matches the Rfam family "Bacterial small subunit ribosomal RNA", at positions 93 to 847 of the family's 1533-position model. The record is from RNAcentral.